Molecule: transfer RNA, 77 nt
Filed under: Planctomycetes bacterium ADurb.Bin069
Lineage: Bacteria; Pseudomonadati; Planctomycetota
Also listed under: 1 other name
Description: tRNA-His
Rfam family: tRNA
About the family: Transfer RNA (tRNA) molecules are approximately 80 nucleotides in length. Their secondary structure includes four short double-helical elements and three loops (D, anti-codon, and T loops). Further hydrogen bonds mediate the characteristic L-shaped molecular structure. tRNAs have two regions of fundamental functional importance: the anti-codon, which is responsible for specific mRNA codon recognition, and the 3' end, to which the tRNAs corresponding amino acid is attached (by aminoacyl-tRNA synthetases). tRNAs cope with the degeneracy of the genetic code in two manners: having more than one tRNA (with a specific anti-codon) for a particular amino acid; and 'wobble' base-pairing, i.e. permitting non-standard base-pairing at the 3rd anti-codon position.
Source: RNAcentral
GAGAGUGUAGCUCAGUUGGACAGAGCGCCAGGUUGUGGCCCUGGAGGCCGGGAGUUCAAAUCUCCUCACUCUCCCCA